This 72-nucleotide transfer RNA is filed under the name Lachnospiraceae bacterium. Its description in RNAcentral is "tRNA-Val". It matches the Rfam family "tRNA". Rfam says of the family: Transfer RNA (tRNA) molecules are approximately 80 nucleotides in length. Their secondary structure includes four short double-helical elements and three loops (D, anti-codon, and T loops). Further hydrogen bonds mediate the characteristic L-shaped molecular structure. tRNAs have two regions of fundamental functional importance: the anti-codon, which is responsible for specific mRNA codon recognition, and the 3' end, to which the tRNAs corresponding amino acid is attached (by aminoacyl-tRNA synthetases). tRNAs cope with the degeneracy of the genetic code in two manners: having more than one tRNA (with a specific anti-codon) for a particular amino acid; and 'wobble' base-pairing, i.e. permitting non-standard base-pairing at the 3rd anti-codon position. The record is from RNAcentral. Lineage: Bacteria; Bacillati; Bacillota; Clostridia; Lachnospirales; Lachnospiraceae.
GGUCGCUUAGCUCAGCUGGGAGAGCACUGCCUUACAAGCAGGGGGUCAUAGGUUCGAGCCCUAUAGCGACCA